AAAUUUUAAACGUGCAGUCACUUGAGCACGUUUUCAUUAACCAGUGCUCGCUGGCCCGGCGACGAGCUUCGGUUCUUGCUGAAAGCAUUUACUUAUUGUUGUGUGUGAUAAAUUGAGUUACUGUAUCAAGAAAAUGGGGAACAAGCGUGUGAUGCUACCGGCGAGUGAAAUUGACUUGACGGCGGUGAAGUACAUACCGGAGAAUAUUCAAGCUCCACAUUUGACUGGUUUCUGGUUCAAGUUCUUUCUGAACCUGGCUGAAGUACCGGGUAUUGGAUCUUUGAUUGUGAAUCGCCUCAAGAAUGAUAACAAAUUCGACGAGAAGCUGAAGUACACCGUCAUACCGGAGUACCCUAUGUUUAAACCGGAAUUUCCUCCUCAAGAGCCAGAACCUGCUGUUGUCAGCAUCGAAGAAGACGCGAAGCCUGAAGACCGGGUUGAGCUAGCCUUAAAGUGUCUUCCAGAAUAUGAUCCAGCUAGCAAUUGGAGUGGUGAUACAACCACAUCAUUUCGCUAUUGGAAGAUUCGUGAUUAUGCAUAUGCAUACAGAUCUAAGUUUACAACUCCAUCGAUGGUUGCAGAGCGCUUCAUCUCAGCUAUUGAGGAGUUCAACAAUAAGAAUCCCACAACCCCACUAUUAAUUUCUUUUGACCCUGACGAUGUUAGAAAGCAAGCUGCUGCUUCUACACAGAGAUUUGAACAAGGGAAUCCACUCUCAAUCUUGGAUGGGAUUUUCAUGGCAAUCAAAGACGACAUAGAUUGCUAUUCUCACCCAUCAAAGGGAGCAACUACAUGGAUGCAUGAGGUUCGUGAGGUAAAGAAGGAUGCUGUUUCUGUGUCAAGAUUACGCAGUUGUGGAGCAAUUUUGGUUGGAAAGGCGAACAUGCAUGAGUUGGGAUUGGGUACUACUGGAAAUAACGCAAACUAUGGGACUACACGGAACCCACACGAUCCAGAUAGGUACACAGGUGGCUCUUCCUCCGGCCCUGCAGCUAUUGUGGCUUUGGGAUUGUGUUCUGCUGCUUUGGGGACGGAUGGAGGAGGUUCAGUUCGGAUUCCUUCUUCCCUUUGUGGUGUUGUGGGAUUAAAGUCAACAUAUGGUCGAACUGACAUGACCGGGUCAUUAUGUGGUGAUGGAACAGUGGCAAUUAUUGGACCGAUUGCUACAACAGUUGAGGACACCAUACUUGUGUAUGCAGCAAUUUUGGGGUCCUCUCCCGCUGAUAGAAUCUCUUUGAGACCGUCCCUCCCUUGUGUACCUAAUUUCUCUUCACAAGAGAGCUUGCAAUCUGUGGAAUCGCUGCGCCUUGGAAAAUAUACAGAGUGGUUUAAUGAUGUCUUCUCAAUUGAUAUAUCUGACAAGUGCGGGAAUGUUCUCAGUCAGCUAUCAGAAGAGCAUGGAUGCAGAAUCGUAGAAAUUGUAAUACCAGAGUUGCAUGAGAUGCGCAUAGCUCAUGUUGUUUCUAUUGGAUCGGAAGCAUUAUGCGCACUGAAUCCAGACUGUUGUGAUGGGAAGGGAGAGAGAUUGACAUAUGAUACUCGCACCAAUCUGACACUUUUUCGUUCAUUUACAGCAGCAGACUAUGUUGCUUCUCAGCGGCUUAGGCGGAGGUUAAUGUAUUUCCAUAUGGAGAUUUUCAAGAGGGUGGAUAUCAUUGUGACACCAACAACUGGCAUGACA
RNAcentral lists this unclassified non-coding RNA (1681 nucleotides) under Hevea brasiliensis (rubber tree). Lineage: Eukaryota; Viridiplantae; Streptophyta; Magnoliopsida; Malpighiales; Euphorbiaceae. The record is from RNAcentral.